Canis lupus familiaris (dog) is the source of this 5877-nucleotide long non-coding RNA. RefSeq lists it as uncharacterized. Lineage: Eukaryota; Metazoa; Chordata; Mammalia; Carnivora; Canidae. The transcript is spliced from 3 exons. The record is from RefSeq and is a predicted model, not a curated record.
GUUCCGUCUGCCUCCGUCGGGUGCCGUGGGGCCACAUGGGGCCCUGGAGGCCCAAGGCAGAGGCCGUCCGGGGGCACUGGUGGCUGCAGGCCGAGUGCUGGCUCUGCUCCCGGCUGCAGGGGCGAGGCACCUCCUAGCCCGCGACAGUGUGGUACACGAAUGCAGAUGCUACUGGGUUAUAAAGCAGCCACUGGGGCAGAGCUCAGGCGACACCGUCCUUUUCCUAAAGAGGGAAGAGCCAAAGGUCUAAGUCCCUGAGCAGGCAGGUUGGAGACUCGGGAGGGGCUCUGCUUACAGGCCACCAGCCAAAGGGGACAGCCCGGUGCCCUUGGUCCACAGCCGGCCGGGCCACUGGUGACAGCCCCGUGUUGGUGCCACUUGGUCCGGUGAUGUUCUUCACAGGCCCGCACCGCGUGUCCGGUGCUCAGGCUGGACGGGCAGAGAGCCCCAGGCAUCCUGCCCUGGUGCAGUCCCCAGGCUCGGGGUCGGAGCAUGCUGGUGGGGGCGGGGACCCCCUGAGGACCACGUCGUCAGUACGGGUGACGGCCAACGUGGCCUGUUAAUGUGCGUCUCCAGGAGGACGAGGACUAGGCCCGCGCCAUCCUCCACCACCUGGUGCUGCCGUUGGCUCCCUUCAGAUGGGGACGUGGCCAUCGAGGGGGCACGGCAGCCCUUAGGGCCGCCCGUGAGGACACAGUGGAGGCCUGUGUGUGCUCGGAGAGCGGGGACCGGGUGUGGACGGGGCAAGGUGCAGAAUGGCUGCCCCGGAGGAGUCGAUGCUUGAGCCGUGGGCAGGAGAUGGGGACUGACGAUGGACAGAUGAGGCGAUGGAGCCGGAGGACGGGCGAGCUGAGCCACGGCUCGAGGGGCUGGGAGGUGGCAGGUGUGGGGUGCACAGGCGGGGGCUCCUGCCUCGUCCCAAGAGCCGCGGGAGGCCAGCGAGGUGCGCCGUGGAGGGACCCGAGUGGCCCCGAGGAGCCCUGUGUGGGGCUGUCGUCGUGGGGGGCGGCCAAGGGCGAGGAGGCGGGGAGCGGCCGUGUCCAGCGCUGUUGGCAGUGAGAUCCGCUUGGCUCAAGCGGACUUGCGACGGGGACAAGGGUCGGGGCAGGGGCCAGAGACCCAGAGAUCGUGGCCCACAGAGCUGGCCACCAGGGAGACCCUUCGCGCGGUGCAGACACUGGCAUGUUCGGGUCCUGGGCAGGGCCACGGAGGCGGAAGUGACCCUUACCAGCUCUCUCGGAGGUCAAACGCCAGAACCUUGAAGGAGUGGAUGGUACGACGAGUACCUGCUCACGGCCAUCUUCGUCACGAGUGGUCGGUGCUUUGCCGUAUCUGCUUGCCCGUCCUCUCCACUCGCGCACGUUCGCACACGGAUGCGCACUCGGACUCACGUGCACACACACAUGUCCGCCACGCACGUGUCUGCUGUGCAAUUGCAGGCAUCACCACACCUCAUCCUAAACGUUUGUACCCCUUAAACAUGAAGACAGUCUCCCCAGUGAGCAAGGUCGCGUUUUCACUCCUCAGAACCUCACCGUCCUGGAACAGGCGCGGUUAUCCCGUGACACCGUUUGAUGAGUGAUCCUGGUCAGGCUCCCCCUUGCCCCAGGUUUCUGUGUUCAGUCGAAGUCCUUGCUCUUGGUCGUGGGGUCUGCUCUUUGGUCUCCUUCCACGUAGAGCAGCCCCGUCCCCACCGCAACCCGUUUCUUCCUGUGGCCCGGCUCUUGGGCAGCUUCUCGCAGGACGUCGUGGACUCUGGCUUGUCUGACGGUUGCGGUUCUGCUGCUGCUGCUGCUUCUGCUCUGUUGGGAUGUGACGCCCGUAACCUAGCUCGCCCGUGUGAGUGAACAGUUCAGUGGCCUUUAGUCUCUUCCCAGAUGCGUGUGGCCAUCACCGUAGUUGCUUCUAUUACAUCGUCAUCACCUCGAAAAGAACCCGAGUAGCUGUUUCCCAGCUCAGUCCCUCUCCGCAGCUCGACGCGGCCGCUCAUCCACCUUCCGUCUCUGGGUUUUCCCGGUCUGGCUUUUCAUAGAAGGGACUCGUGUGCUUUGCUGCCUUUGGUACGUGGCUUCCUUCUCUUAGCGUCACGUUUUCAAAGUUUGUUCACGUGGCCGCGUUUCUUUUCACGACUGAAGGGUACUCCACGGUGUGGACGCGCCACAUUUGUUUAUCCACUCGUCCACCGGGGGUCAUCGGGGCCGUCUCCCCUCUGGUUAGUACGAAUGUGCUGCUCUGCACAUUUGGGUGCAGGUGCUCGUGGGGACCCGGGUUUUCAUCUCUCUUGGGUAGACACCUGGGAGCUGAAUUGCUGGGUGACUUUGUUUAAUUGUCGGGCUGCCGCUCAGAGCCGCGGAAACAUCUUCCAGUCCUGUGGGCAGCACGUGAGGCUGAGCUCUCCGCGGCCCGUGCUCGUCGUCAUCUGUCCGAGGCCGUUUUCCUCGGUGUCCCGCAGUGGAGGCUUCUCUCUCUGCCCGGCCUCCCGAGUCGCAGCCUCACCCCAGCAGACCUCCCAGACCCAGACGGCGAAGGAUGCAAAUGGCACAUAGGACCAGACCGGACGGCACUGUUUUCUUAUUUGGGGGUGCCAGCUCCUGCACUUUCCUACCGGGUUUCCUAGCACCUGAGGAUCCCCAGGAAGCAGCCAGGCCAGAGCUGCCUCCAGCAGGUGAAGGUGGCUCCGGGGAGCUGGUGCCAGAGACCAGCCGGGGCUCCCGGGCCUGCCACCGAGUGCACAGGCUGCCGUCCUGCGAGCUGCAGCACGUGGCCCUGGGGAAGGUGGUGGGAAGGGGACUUUCCCCAGAGUGAGUGCCCCAUAGGAGUGGCCUCCGCGCUACACGACACCCAGGACUCUCCGCCCUUGGGUGCUUCUGUUCCCCGUCGCAGGAGCUGCUGAUGCUGUGGGAAACUGGGCUUCUCUGGAAGUGGCCAGGCCGGGGUGCAGCCCCACCCCCAGCCUGGAGGCUGGCUGGAGGAGGCCGGCCCAGCGCGGCCCUUGCCCCUUGCAGCCUCGGCCAGCCUGUCUACACUGCAGUCCCUCCUCCGGGACCAGAGCCCCCGUUGGAGCUAGGGGGCCUUCCUGGCUCUGCAGGCUGUGGAGUUGGCUCCGUGUGACCAGCUGUCAGCCUCAGGUUCGAGGCCUGGCCAAGUGUCGCCGCCUCUCCUUCUCUGCCCUCCUCUGAAGGUGUGGGUCGCGGUGCCUCUGUGCCUCCCUCACGCUGACCUGGCAUCCUACCGUGUGUGUGCAGAGUGACCAGGGCAGUGACUUCUGGUCCCAACAGACACAAGGGUUCUCCUCGAGGGCAGGGCCUGAGUCCUGCUCGCCUCUGCCAUCUUUAUUGAUUUGCUCAGAACGAUUUUGGUCACCAGCGCCAGAACCUGAGCUCAGACUGGCCUAAGGAUCCAGGGUGCAUGUUCCUGAAAGCCUAGGGGUGUCAGGUACGGCCAGGUCCAGGUCCCCUGUGUCAUGGCUGUGCCCACGUCUUGGUCCUGCUGUCAGCAGCCUCUUGGGUGGUGGCAGGGGCCCCGGGCUGGGGUCCAGGGGGCAGGUUUGGGUCACGUGCUCAGGGAGCAGCCGGCUAGGAUUGGUCAGGCCCAUGUCGUGGUUUCAUUGAGAUUGGGGUGUUGUCAUGGAUGGGGGGCAGGGGUGCUUCCCAAGGGAGAUGGGCACUGGGCAGGCCAAACCGCAGGAACCCUGAGAUGAUUCUCCCCGACUCCUUGCCCGCCCUCAGCGCCCCACUCGGGUCAGUAGCGUGUUUACCUCCCUCCUGGGUGCUUCUCGCACCUGCUCUGUGUUCUCAGCAGGAACUGACCCCUGCUUCUCUCCUUCCCACGGCCAACCGGGGUUCGUUCUGUCUGCCACAGCCAGGAGGGGUCUCUCCAACACCCAAGCAGAUCCCAUCCUAAUUCAACCCUGGUUGGUGCCCCCUUGCCCCUUGGAGGAAGUCCGUUCUCAGCAGGGUGUGUCCACCCUUGGUGACCUGGCCCUUCAGUCCUGUGGGGACUCUGAUGCAGGACUUGAUCCAAGGACCCUAGGAUCAUGACCUGAGCCGAAGGCAGAGGCUCAACCACCGGGUCACUUAGGCAUCCCCCACCCAUCUGUCUGAUGAUGUGUCCACUUUUCUAUCCAUCCAUCCAUCCAUGCAUCUAAAUUCUAGGUAUCCAUUUGUCCAUCUGUCCAUCCAUCUAUCCAUGCAUCCGUCCAUUUAUCUGUGUGUUCACCCAUCUGUCCAUCUCUCCAUUCACCUGUCCACCUAUCUUUUCACUCAUCCAUCCAUCCACCCACCCACCCACUGGGCAUGGACUGGCCCUAAAUGAAUGUGCUGGGUGGUGGGUGGAGGAAUAAGACAAUGCACCCACAGAUGUAAUGUUACCUGGGAACUACAUGCUCAAGUGUUGGCAGGAGGAAACACCAGGCACGGUGCCCGCAGUGGCGUGGAACCUCUCAACCCACCAGGCUGAUACAACAAAAUAUCCCCUUCUGCCUGCUGAUGGCUGCUGGCUGCCAGUCUGUGAAUCUGACCUGGAGCUUCCAGCAGGAAUCUUAGCUGAGGGGGCUGGGCAGGGCUGCCAAGAAGAGGAGGCGUUCGAAAGCCUGAAGGCUGAGCAGAGUCCGUGAGCCCAGGACUCACGGAAGGCACUUUGCAAGGAGAGGGAACAGCCUGAUGCCAUCCCGUGCCAGUGCGUGAUUUUCACGUGCUCUCAGCCUAGUGACUGUCCCCUUUCUUCUUCCCCCAUCUUUCAACUCAAGGGUGAGGGACGACAACUGCCCCUGCUCCUCUCCCCUCUGCCCAGCUGCCCCGCGGGACUGUGGGGCAGACACGUGCACAUGGAUUGAACUCCCGGGCAGGGACCUUCUCUAUUUGUUCUCUGCUGCGGCCCAGAACCUGGAGGAGGUGCUCAGGAAUCCUCGUCGGGUGGACAAAUGACAGGAGAGUGGGACAUACUGAAUGGAUGAACGAAAGCAUAUGCUGAACCCGUCUUGCCGUGGGAGGAAUGCGAGCCUGGCAGGCAGGCGAACCUACCCUUUCUCCCCAGCUCCCCCUCGCCCCGCAGGUGGACGUGGUUGAUGGUGGGGACGUUCCCUUCCACGGCUUCCUCUGGGCAUUUCUCUGUGUGUACGAGCGCGUGGGCGCGUGGCUGGGGCUGCACCCAAUCACGGUACGUGGCCCAGUCAUCUCGCGGGAUUGCAAGAAGAGUUGGGGCACCUGAGUGGCUCGACUGGACAAGCAUCCGACUCGAUUUCAGCUCAGGUGGUGGUGUCCGGGCUGUGAGCUGCAGCCCUCCGGUGGGCUCUGUGGGGAGUCUGCUGCUCUUCCUGUGCCCCUCCCCCGUAAAUAAACAGACAAAUCUUAAAAGAGGGUCUUAAAAAAGUACAAUUACACGGCAAGUAUCGCAUCUUAUUCUAUUUUAAACUUACUUACUUAUCCUGGAGCUUCCUCUUCACGGAAGCGCGUCUCCUCCUUUCUCCCUGCUGCUGCUCAGCCGCUCCUUCUUGCUGUCAGUUGAGGUAUUCUGAAAUGUUCGGCCGCAGAGACCUUCAGUGCGUGUUUCUGGAUCCAGCUUCUCAGGUCCCCACGUCGCUGCCCUCGGCGCCUCGAGGAGUGUCCGGCCACCGCACUGCAGGGAGCCUCUUUGCCCAUGGUGCAGGGACGGUCCUGCCGUGUGUCCCACCAGGAGCAGUGGCGGCUGGCACGGAGCCCCCACCAGGCCCCGGGAGCUGGGGUUAAGGACCCUGAGUCCAGUGACGCCCAGAGGCCCCCCUCCCACCACGGCACCUCCGCCAGCAGCCUGAGGAGCUUCUGACCCAAACCAGCCACGUCUCCCUCCCUAGAAGCUCCCCGGUUCUCAGGCAUUAGCCCGUCCCCGACGCCCGCGCAG